This 451-nucleotide ribosomal RNA is filed under the name uncultured bacterium. RNAcentral's name for it is "partial 16S ribosomal RNA". It matches the Rfam family "Bacterial small subunit ribosomal RNA", at positions 354 to 796 of the family's 1533-position model. The record is from RNAcentral.
GUGGGGAAUAUUGCGCAAUGGGGGAAACCCUGACGCAGCAACGCCGCGUGAGUGAGGAAGGACUUCGGUCUGUAAAGCUCUGUUAAUGUGGAAAAAUGGUAGUUGGUCUAAUAGGCCGAUUAUUUGAUGGUACACAUAGAGGAAGCACCGGCUAACUUCGUGCCAGCAGCCGCGGUAAUACGAAGGGUGCAAGCGUUGUUCGGAUUUAUUGGGCGUAAAGCGCGCGUAGGCGGACCUGCAAGUCAGAUGUGAAAUCUCGGGGCUCAACCUCGAAACUGCGUCUGAAACUACAGGUCUAGAAUCUCGGAGGGGGAAGGGGAAUAUCGCAUGUAGGGGUAAAAUCCGUAGAUAUGCGAUGGAACACCAGAGGCGAAGGCGCCUUCCUGGGCGAGUAUUGACGCUGAGGCGCGAAAGCGUGGGGAUCAAACAGGAUUAGAAACCCGAGUAGUCC